RNAcentral lists this ribosomal RNA (468 nucleotides) under uncultured bacterium. Its description in RNAcentral is "partial 16S ribosomal RNA". It matches the Rfam family "Bacterial small subunit ribosomal RNA", at positions 28 to 507 of the family's 1533-position model. The record is from RNAcentral.
GACGAACGCUGGCGGCGUGCUUAAUACAUGCAAGUCGAACGGAAAGGCCCUGCUCUUGCGGGGUGCUCGAGUGGCGAACGGGUGAGUAACACGCGAGUAACCUGCCCCUGACUUUGGGAUAACUCUAGGAAAAUGGGGCUAAUACAGGAUAGGAGCUCCUGCUGCAUGGUGGGGGUUGGAAAGUUUCGGCGGUUGGGGAUAGACUAGCGGCUUAUCAGCUUGUUGGUGGGGUAGUGGCUUACCAAGGCUUUGACGGGUAGCCGGCCUGAGAGGGGGGCCGGCCACAUGAGGACUGAGGUACGGCCCAGACUCCUACGGGAGGCAGCAGUGGGGAAUAUUGCACAAUGGGCGGAAGCCUGAUGCAGCGACGCCGCGUGCGGGAUGACGGCCUUCGAGUUGUAAACCGCUUUCGCCUGUGACGAAGCGUGAGUGACGGUAAUGGGUAAAGAAGCACCGGCUAACUACGUG